UACGGAGGGGGCUAGCGUUGUUCGGAAUUACUGGGCGUAAAGCGCACGUAGGCGGCUUUGUAAGUUAGAGGUGAAAGCCCGGGGCUCAACUCCGGAAUUGCCUUUAAGACUGCAUCGCUAGAAUUGUGGAGAGGUAAGUGGAAUUCCGAGUGUAGAGGUGAAAUUCGUAGAUAUUACGGAAGAACACCAGUGGCGAAGGCGACUUACUGGACACAUAUUGACGCUGAGGUGCGAAAGCGUGGGGAGCAAACAGG
RNAcentral lists this ribosomal RNA (254 nucleotides) under uncultured bacterium. RNAcentral's name for it is "partial 16S ribosomal RNA". It matches the Rfam family "Bacterial small subunit ribosomal RNA", at positions 524 to 776 of the family's 1533-position model. The record is from RNAcentral.